Molecule: long non-coding RNA, 12518 nt
Filed under: Hordeum vulgare
Lineage: Eukaryota; Viridiplantae; Streptophyta; Magnoliopsida; Poales; Poaceae
Description: long non-coding RNA (HVUL_LNC013258)
Source: RNAcentral
CGUUGCAACCGAGUCUGAAACAUGGUUAAUUGCUCUGCUGUGAGACGAGUCAGAGCGCCGACUGAAUCGAUGUGGUUUAAUGGAUGCGGUGCGACGUCUGAAACGAGGUAGCGCGCGAGUUUGCAUGCGUUCUGACGUGGAAGGCCCAAGUCAUGCAUGGCAUCGCCGUCGCUAGGCCAUGCAUGGAUGCGAAAGCGGGCGCCCUGCAAAAGCAGCCCAAAGCUUACACGGAUGCGUUGCACAACGGGCCAACUGGUGUCUUGCCGACCAACCAAUCCAAGCACAGAACGAGCAUCUCGCGGAUCGCUGUGGCUGAGCCGAUCACAACCGCCUUCUAGAAGGCCUCGAUUCAACAGCCUAGGUCGAAUCUCUGGGUUUCCUUCUAGAAGCUUUUCGGCUGGGUCAACAUGGUUAUGUGAGGGUUGACCAAGUAUGAAAUGAGCAUACGUAAUUAAAAAAAUCGAAAAAAUAUAAAACCGACGCACAUAGUACAGGUGGGUUUUAAAACUUUGAAAAUGAAAAAAGUCAAAACCUCACUAUUUAUAUUUGAAAAUGAAAACAGCCCAGAUUAGCAUUGCGCGCAUUCCUCGUCGUCGUCACGGCUGUGUCCCCCAAUUCUCCACAGCAUUCCGCGGCAAGCCCAAAUUGAGCUCCCAGGUUGCCGCCCCAUUCGAAUCAAUGUAGCCAUCAAAUUGAAGCCUCUCAAUAUACGCAUCCAUCCACUCGAAAUGGUCACAUUUCUUCAGGAUCUGGAAAAAGCAACACGAACCCUAAAUCCCAAAUUCGACUACAAAAACCGAAAUGGGGAGAAACUAGAGCAAAUCGGUGCGAAAUAAGUGAAAUCUAACCCUCCUAUCCCGUCCUACCAGUGUCUUGCUCGAGCAUCUCACAAACUCACGCCCAAGAUUGUCGUUUUGAUCAGUCUUACUGACUCACCGCUUCAGAGGAUUUGGGCGUGGGCAAUCAGGGCACCUUGUCAUUGGCACUGCACCAUACCGUUGCCAUCUUGACUGCGAGGCGGAGGAGGUAGACAUCUCUCUCUCGUUGCCGCGCUUCGUCGUCGGAGAAGAGGAAGAUAGGGGAAAGGGGGAAGAAAUUGCACGGGGUCGGGCGGCCGGGCACGGGCAUGGUUCUGGUAUAGCUGCGGUGAGGUGGGUCCCACGCUGACAUGGAUAAGUGGUGGGUCUAGCUGCGGUGAGGUGGGUCCCGUGCUGACAUGGAUAAGUGGUGGGUCUAGCUACGGUGAGGUGGAUCCAGCGCAGUUAGUUGGAUAUGUCCCACACUUACGUGGAUAAGUGAUGGUGGGUCCAACGUUCUGUGGUCUCACAUAAUCCUAACAUCAUACAUCAGUUGCGUUUAAACAGCAUGUCGCACCUGGGCUAUUUGUGCUCAAAAAACGCCGCACUUGAGCCAUUCCAGCGAAAAACGUCAUUGUCCAUCAAUUUCACCUCAACGAUGUCGCACGGGAGCUAUUUGCCCUUCAUUGUACAUAGCCUCAAGUGCCUUGUUUUGCCAGUAGUCCGUACAGCUCCAGCUGGUUCCUUUCCUCAGCUUUGCUCCACAAUCCGGGAGGUGGACCAACGAUCCUCUGCCCCUCCGCUACAUCAUCCCCAUUCAAUUAUUGGCUCCAAUCAAAGCUUCUUGCUUUUGUGUAGAGGAGCGAGAAGCAACCAUUGUCCAAUGCUUAUGCAGAAAGCUCGGAGCCGCCGGAGACAACAUUAGCAAGAAUGGUUUUCAAUCAUACCCGAUUUGUUGCCCAAGUACAUCUGUGAAAAAAAGGCACCACAUCAUGGUCCAAAUUGGUGGACGACGGGAUGGCAGCGGCAAGACAACAUUAGCAAAAAUGGUUUACAACCAUACCUGAUUCAAAGGCUACUCUCAGGUCUGGGUCGAGUGCUCGGGGAAUUUUUACUUGCAUCAGAUAGGGAAGUCCAUAAUUUCUCACGUAUCAGGGGAAGAGAUCAACAACGGUUCCGAUGACAACAUGGAGUAUGUGAGCAAGCGCCUUCACCAGUUACUUGACAAUGGUAUUAAGGUACUUGUUUUAGAUGGCAUAUGGCUAUCAUGGCAUGAUUGCAAAGAGUUGCAGGGUAUGUUAAGGGGAAGGGACAAUCGUGGUGAGGUAAUCUUGAUAGCAACGGACAGUGGAGAAAUGUAUUUUCAGAGAUACAGUGAAUGGAGUGACGACAUGUGCUGGACAAUAAGUUUGCAACCUGGUUCACUAUGAACCGUAAGAUGCAUGGCUUUGCGAAACAAGUUAUGCUUCAGAUAUAGAUACAGAGACAUCUUAUGGGCAGGAAUCGUUCUCUAAUAAAGACUGCCACUAUGUACUGCUUACUGAUUUGAAGUUGUCCAGUAAAUUAUCUGCCCACAUAAGGGCGCUAAGUUAUGUGGGCUCUGGCAAAAUGGAGCUCAGCGAUUAUUUGUUUUAAUUUUCCAGGUGCCAGUGUCUAUUAGAUUUAAAUGACAGCUCAAUGCUGAACUUACCAAAUUCUGUCUGUCAGUUGAGGCAUUUGGGAUAUCUUAAUUUAUCAGGCUGCUCUGGACUAGUUAUUUUACCAGACUCGCUUGGAGAUCUAUUAAGUUUGUUAAUAUAUUGAUUUAUCAGGCUGCUCCGGACUAAGAAAUCUACCUGAAUAAUUUGGGAAGCUAAUAAAUUUGGCACAUAUUGACUUAUCGGGUUGCUCUCGACUAGUAAACGUAUCGGAAACAUUUUGUAAGCUGACAAAUUUGUUGCAUAUUGACUUGUCAAGGUCCUCUGGACUUGUAAAGUUGCCAGAUUCAUUUGGGAAGCUAACUAGUUUGAAUCAUCUCAAUUUAUCAGGCUGCUCUGGACUAGAAAAACUGCCACAUUCAUUGGGGAAGCUAAUAAAUUUGGUCACAUCAACCUAUCACAGUGUUCUGAAAUAAUUAGUCCGCCUCCAUCGUUUGGGAAGCUAAUAUACUUGCUGCGCAUCAACCUAUCAGGGUGCUCUGCAUUGGUAAGCUUACCGGAACCAUUUGGGAAUCUCAUAAAUUUGGUGCAUAUCAACUUGUCAGGCUGCUGUGGACUAUUAAAUCUGCCUGGGUCAUUUGGGAAUUUAAUAAAUAUGUUGCACGUUGAUUUAGCAUGUUGCCAUGGACUAGGUAAACUUCCAGAAUCAUUCAGGAAGCUAAAGAAUUUGGCACACCUAGACUUAUCAUUCGGGUCUUGUUUUGAAGGGGUCGAGAAAGCUCUUGUUGGCCUUACCAAUCUCCAGCACUUGUACUCGUCACACCCUUGCUGUUAUCUUGCUCAACAGCAGUCCUGCCUCGAAGGGCUAAAAGAUGUUCUGGGCCAGCUCACAAGAUUAGAGUAUUUAAACCUAUCCAUGUUCCUGAAUCCUAUCUUUUACUCACAGUCAGUAGAGCGAACUUAUAAAUUGAUUGAAUUUAUUUUUCCAGUCUGGACCAUUUGGAUUUGUUCCAUAAUAGAUUUCUCCAUAAUCUACCUGAAAGUUUAGGUGAACUCAACAAUCUGCAAACACUGGACCUCUCAGGCUGCAUUAGAUUGAAGGGCAUAGCCAAAAGGAUAGGCGAAAUCAGGUCUCUCAAGUCGACGUGAGGAACUGCCGCAGUUUGAAAAGAUGUCAGCUUGUGGUUAAAGCUGAUAACGGAGAAGCAUAUUGGAACACAAACAUUGUUGAGCUCGAGCAUUCAAACUUGGAAGAUCUUCAGAUAAGCUGUCUUGAAAAUGUGAAGUCUAUAGAAGAUGCAGAACAAGUAAGAAUAGUACUGGAAGGAAAGGCUCAGAAGUGGAAACUUUGUUGGACUGUGAGCUCCCAAGGAUCCAUGGAGGUCAAUACUCUGUUUGAAGAAUUACUGCCAACAGGUCUGCGGUGCCUUGAGCUACAUGGUUAUAACGGGGAGACCUGCCUUUCAACCUGGUUGACAUCAACCAUAGAUUCUCAUGUCUUUACUCUUGUAGAGGUUACCAUUGAGGACAUGCCAAGGUGCAGCCGCCCACCACCACUGUGUUUGUUACUCAACCUGCGACGAGCAGUUUUCAGAAGGAUGGCUAGCAUCACAAGAUUCGAUGUCAAUGACCUAACUGGUGGAAACCGAGAAGCACUCCAUCGACUCCGCAAAUUCACCCUAGAGUUGGAUGAUUUGGAAAACCUGGAAGAGCUCAAGACCACAUACAACAGAAUUGGUAAGGAGCCUAUGCUCCCGGCCAUUGGUGAGCUGUUGAUUACGAAAUGCCCUAAGUUGUGCUUCGGACCUUUCAUGUCUAGAGUUCGGAGGUUGGUGGUCCCAGACUGCAGCGAGCUAAUGGUCUAUUCCAGAGGACGGCACAAUGUGGAGAGCCCUUAUAUCCUUGUUUCAAUAAAUGAACUGGUGGUCAGAAACUGCAAGGUAGCUCUAUAUAACUGAAAUUUGCUUCACAACCUCCCUGACCUCCAUAGUUUAACUGUCAAAGAUUGCAAAGAUCUGACGACUGUAUCAGAUACUAUUGAGGCCCUACCCUCCCUCCAAUCACUAUGCUUAUCUAAUUGUCGGGUGUGGACUCGCUAGAACAACACUUGGCUGGCCUCACCUCUUUCCGGGAACUGAAGAUCGCGUCCUGCAAUAUGUUCAAGGGAUUCACGCGGAGUUUGCAAAGACUCGCCUCCCUUGGGUCGAUGCAUCUUAGUGACUGCAACAGUAUCACGUCACUGCCGGAAUAGUUAGUAGAUCUCACCAAUCUAGAGAAGCUUGCAAUCCACAGAUGCCCUGCCGUUGAAUCUUUGCCGGACAGCAUAUAUAAAUUAACCAAUCUGAAGGAUCUGCAUAUUUUGGACUGUCCAAAAUUGCAGGGCUGGUGUGAAAGGGAGGAGAAGAAGAAAAUAAUGGACCACAUCCGACCAAACUAUGAGCAUGUACUAUAUUACUCUUAUGUUUCAUUUCCUUUCGCUGAGAGGAUGUAGCUUUCAAUGGUUACUGAUCUUGACUCAGUACUCUGUUUUACAUUCCUUGUGUUUGUUCAUGCUUUUUAUCUUGGAGGCCACUAAGCAGCGGCGCCGCAUCCAGGGCUUCCCGUGCGGCGGCCCUACUGCGUACGUCACCACUUCCAUCCAUCAUGUGAUCUCUUUUUGCCUCCACUCUAGUGAGCCAUUCAACGCUAUGGCAGGUUGAAACUUGCAUGCAAGGAAUCGUAAAAGUAUAAAAAAGAGACCCACUGCAUGCAUGCAAAGCCUCAUAAAAAAAAGAAGAAGGGUACAUGCAUUAUUCAAAAACUUUUAUCUCUUAAAUCGUUAAUUCGACCGAUGAUCCGUUUUCGCUGUUGACUUUGUUUCCAUGAAAUCUUCAAAACUAGAUCCCAUGUCGACAUGGUUCGACAACAUUUUUUUUUGCUUGUACUUACCACAUUUGUUGUACUUACUUGUCAUAUUAGUAAGUACUUACUUGUCUGAUAAAAAAUAACUUAAUCAUCAUAUUUUUAGAAAUUGUGAAUAAAUAUGACAUCUUGACAUAAUCAAACUGACAAACACAAACAACUUUUUUAGACGAUUACGCGUAAAAAUAUGACAACUCAACAUAUUUAAAACUGAUGACCACAAGAAAUACUUUUUGGUCAUCGUUUAUAAAUAUGACAACUCGGCAUAGUUAAACUAACAAGCACACAAAAUAGUUUUCUGGUAAAGUUGUAUGUAAAUAUGCAAGUUGGUAUAUUUUAAAUUGGCAAACACAACCGAUAACAUGCUUUUAUAUCAUGUAUAAUGAAAUCUCUUACAAUGCUUUUGUACGAAACAAACAUUAAAAAGUGACAAUCAAGUUAUUUUUUUGAGGCAAGUAAGUGAUUAAUAAUAUGGCAAGUACGAACGGAAAAAAAAUGUUGACGAAACGUAUUGACAUGGGAUCUAAUUUCGAAGAACUCGUCGGAAAUCGACAUGCUAAUUUCGUAGAACUCGUCAGGAGAAAGCCAAUGGUGAAAAACUGAAAACUGAUCAUCGAUUGGAUUAACGAUUUUGUAGAUAAAACUUUUUAAAUUUCAAACAUCAAAGGAAAUUGCACGUUGUCUGUAGCAUGCAAAACUCUUUUCCCUCCCUAAUCUAACGGUCCCACGCGAUAUGCUUAAAACGUCAACGCAGCCGUGCGCACGCUACGAAUUAGAUUUUCCCUUUUAUCUUUGGUGUGCUCGCGCAGAAUUCCUUCACAGUAAUAUAAGGCCCAUUACUAAUCUGAACUUUAUCUGUAGCUAACCAAGGGGUGUGUGUGUAUGUUGUUUAUUCUGCAGAGAACAUGGUACUAGCAGGCCAGGCAGCAAGGACGACGACGAUGUGGAGGGUGAAUUGGAGGACUGGUCGGACAGCAUGGACGAGGAGAAGCUAGAGGCAGUAUCAAUGGUUGCAGUGGACAAUUCAGUGGUAACAGACAGGCAACGCGGAUGUUGUAGCGGAGGAGAAGUCGGAGGCAGUAUUGACGAAUGCAUCGAGGAAUUCAGUUGUGACAGACAAGGCGGAUGUUGUAGCGGAGGAGGCUGAGGCAGUAUUGCCGGAUGCCGUGGAGAAUUCAGUGAUGACAGGCAACACGGACGCUGUAGUGGAAGAGGUGACGAGGGAUGUCGACGCAGAAGACGCAGCUGAUGUGUGCUUGGAGUUGCGACUGGGACUGACUGCCCAUAAAUGAAGAGCUGAUCCAAGUCGGAGGAGAAGAGGAUGAAAUUUCUCUACGACUGUAUUUAUAACACUGUUCUUCUUUCUCUCUACACUACUUUUCGGUCACACAGACAGAUACACAAUUUUCUUAGAUGUGUUAGACAUUGUAUAUCUCGUAUACACAUGGUAUAUGUAUAAGCCAUGUGUAUUACUACGUUGUAGGCGUGCGUGUGUUGGUUUAAACUAGGGAUAUCUUGUUAGGGUCUAUCUCUUGUGUUUAACUUGUAGAUAGAGAUAGAUCCUAACUCCUUGUUGUAAUCUUCUUGGUCUUGUGCCUUUAUUAAGACGCACGCGUCCCUGCUAACGCAUACGCUUCAAACCUCUCUAUUCUCACAUGGUAUAGAGCCUAUCUCUUCCACCCACGUUCAAACCUCCACCGCCGCUGCCGCCUCGUCCAAACCUUCCUCCACCGCCGCCGCCGCCAUGUCUUCCUCUUCCUCCACCCACGUUCAUGCCUCUUCCUCCCUCGCUGCCCUCGGUCACACCAUCACCGAGAAGCUCUCCCGAGACAAUUUUCUGGUGUGGAAAGCUCAAGUACUUCCUCACAUCAGGGCUGCCGGCCUCAUGGGGUAUCUUGACGGUACCACCACGGCGCCCCCUACCGUUCUUCAAACUGAAACGGACGUCGCCGGGAAGAAGGAGAUGGUCUCCACCACCAAUCCUGCCUACACCAUCUGGUAUACCCAAGAUCAACAAGUCCUCACCUUCCUGCUGGCCUCGCUCUCCCGGGAGGUUCUCAUGCAAGUUCAUGACAUCACCUCAUCCACCAGGGUCUGGCACAUGAUCUUGCAGCUAUUCGCCUCACAAUCCCGUGGGCGCGUCAUGCAGCUUCGGGGGCAACUCUCCACAACUCGCAAGGGCGAUCUCUCUGCGGCCGCCUACUACACCAAGAUGAAGGGCUUCGCCGACGAGCUUGCUGCGGUUGGGAAACCCGUUGAUGAAGAUGAGGUCGUGUCCCAUCUACUCCACGGGUUGGACUCCGACUACAACUCCUUCGUCUCGGCGAUCUCCACCCGUGCUGCAGCCGAUCACCCCAUCGGCCUCGGCGAAGUCUACUCUCUAGUACUCUCCGCCGAGUCCCGCCUCGAAGCACAGAACACCACGCUCUCCCACUCCCUGAACCUUGCGUCGAAGGGGGGUGGCCGUGGCUUUCCUGCUCGGCCUGCAGAGGGGCCAGAUCACCGCUUCAGUUCCAGCGGAGGUGCGCCUCCUCCAGGCCGCGGUGCUGCCUCCCCUCAAGGGCCCCUUGGUCCCCUUGUCUGUCAAAUCUGCAAGCUUGACGGCCAUGGGGCGUGGUCCUGCAAGAAGCGCUUCGACAAAACCUUCAACAACAAUCCCAAGCGCCGUGACAAGACUGCAAACACUGCCACUGCCUCCUACGGUGUUGACACCAAUUAGUACCUCGACACAGGUGCCACCGAUCACGUUACCGGCGAGCUGUAGAAGCUGACUAUGCGUGAUCGCUACACUGGACCGGAUCAGAUUCACAAUGCGAGUGGCCAAGGUAUGGAAAUUACACAUGUUGGUCAUGCACUUCUUCCUACUCCUCAUGAAUCUCUGAGGCUAAACAACAUCUUACAUGUCCCCACCGCAUCCAAAAGCCUUCUUUCUGGUCACCAACUUACCAAAGAUAAUCAUGCAUAUCUUCUUGUUUACCCCGAGUUCUUUUCUGUUAAUGAUCAGGAAACGGGGAGAACAAUCCUUCAAGGUCCAAGUAAACGUGGACUAUACCCCAUUGCUGGCCAGUCGGUAGAACCUGGACGUCAACUUCUUGGUGUCGUCAAGCCAUCUACCUCUAGGUGGCAUAGGCGCCUAGGUCAUCCAUCAAUCUAAGUGGUGCAGCAAAUUCUUCGUCACAAUAGUCUUCCCGUGUCAAAUAAAACUAAUCAUCACCUCGUUUGUGAUGCAUGUCAAAUGGCCAAGAGCCACCAAUUACCUUAUUGUCGUUCAACUAGUGUUUCCAAUGCUCCUUUAGAGCUAGUUUUUUCAGAUGUAUGGGGUCCUGGACCUCUUUCCAUUGGUAGACAGAAAUAUUAUGUCAGUUUCAUCGAUGAUUUUAGCAAGUUUAGUUGGAUUUAUCUCAUUAAAAAUAAAUCUGAUGUCUUCCAAAAGUUUCAUAUCUUCCAAGCUCUAGUUGAACGCUUAUUUGAUCGUAAAAUCAUUGCCAUGCAAACUGAUUGGGGUGGUGAGUAUGAAAAGUUAAACCAAUUCUUUGAACGUAUUGGUAUUACCCAUCAUGUUUCAUGUCCUUAUGCUCAUCAACAAAACGGGUCUGUUGAACGCAAACACCGUCACAUCGUUGAGGUUGGCCUAUCCCUCCUAGCACAUGCAUCCAUGCCUCUCAAGUUUUGGGAUGAAGCAUUCCUCACAGCCGUCUACCUUAUAAACCGUGUUCCUAGUCGUGUUAUUCAUAAUCAAACACCCUUGGAACACCUCUUUAACACUACACCAGACUAUUCCUCUCUUCGUAUUUUUGGUUGUGCGGUAUGGCCUAAUCUUAGGCCCUUUAACAAACAUAAGCUGGAGUACCGAUCCAAACAAUGUGUCUUUCUUGGUUAUAGCGCCCUUCACAAAGGCUAUAAGUGUCUUGAGGUUUCCACCGAUCGUGUUUAUGUUUCUCGCGAUGUGAUUUUUGAUGAACAUAUUUUUCCCUUUGCCGCACUACAUCCUAAUGCCAGUGCUCAAUUGCGCAAAGAACUCCUACUCCUUCCUCCACUUCUCCUUAAUCAUCCACCUCUCUCGGCUCCGGAGGAAGUGCAUACUAAUAAUGUGACAAUUUCUAAUACUAAUGGGCCUAACUCUGAUGCAAGUGUGCAGGAAUCUGUUCAUCCAGGUGCUUGCGACACUCAUGAUUUUCUGUGUGCAGAUUCUCCUACAGAUGCGGCCUCCACAGAAGAUCCGGCCGGCGCUGAAAACGGGGCUGAUCUCCCUGCCAAAUCAGCCUCGGGAUCACCCCCUCCGGCUGGGGCUGAAAACGGGGCUGGUAUCCCCGACAUUCCAGCCUCGGGAUCCCGACGCGCCAGCGGAUCCUUGCCGAUUUCCGCGCCCCAACCGCCUCCUGCCACGUCUCCAGAUCCGGUCUCGGGUGGCGCCUCCGACGCUCCCGCCUCGGGAUCUCGUGCUGCCAGCGGACCCCUGCUGGUCUCCGCGCCCCCGUCGCCUCCUGCCACGUCUCCCGAUCCGGCCUCGGGGUCAGGUUGCGCCGCGUCAACGUCGCCUGGACCGGACGCCUCCACCUCGGGUCUGGCGCGGUCCAGUGCCCACCCGCCCGACCGGCCCCAGGUGGUUCCUGUCGUGGUCGACACGCCCCGCCAGGAGACUGCUAUGGUCGGUUCUGCUGCCGACCUGUCGCUCCACGUGGCGCCACAGGACUCGCCGGCCUCCCCGAGUGCGUCAUCAUCCGCGGUCUCCUCUGACCUUCCUGUCGCACAUCGCCGUCAACAACAACUCCUCCCAGCUCCCCCACCAUCGUCAUCAACACGUGUUACUACCCGAUCCCGUACUGGUAUUAUUAAACCCAAAGAAUUUACCGAUUGAUGUAUUCGUUGGGGCUCCUUUUGUGCUACAGGUGAACCGCAGAAUUUAAAAGAAGCACUUGGUCAUCCAAAGUGGAGAGAAGCUAUGGAUGAGGAGUAUCGUGCACUCAUGGACAACCAAACUUAGCACUUGGUCACACCUCGCGCAGGUACAGAUCUUAUCGACUGCAAAUGGGUGUAUAAAGUCAAACACAAAUCUGAUGGUAGUAUUGAUCGCUAUAAAGCACGUCUCGUUGCAAAAGGGUUUAAACAACGUUAUGGUCUUGAUUAUGAGGAUACUUUCAGUCCCGUUGUUAAAGCCGCUACCAUCAGAUUGGUUCUGUCUAUAGCUGUCUCUAGAAAUUGGUGUAUGCGACAGUUGGACGUUAAGAACGCGUUUUUGCAUGGUGUUCUGGAAGAGAAUGUUUUUAUGCGACAACCACCUGGGUAUACGGAUCCAAGGUUUCCACACUUGGUCCGUAAACUGGAUAAAGCUCUGUAUGGUCUGAAACAGGCAUGCCGUGCAUGGUACUCUCGCUUGUCUUUCAAGCUUCAGUCUCUUGGUUUUCAACCCUCCAAGAGUGAUACCUCACUAUUCUUUUAUUCUCGGAGAGGGGUGACUAUCUUUAUGCUCAUAUAUGUGGAUGACAUUAUUGUUACUAGUUCCUCUGUACAAGCAGUUGAAGCUCUCCUCAGUGAUCUUCGCAUGGACUUUGCACUCAAAGAUCUCGGAUCCCUGCAUUAUUUUCUUGGUAUUGAGGUAACUUCUACUGAUAAUGGUAUUGCUUUAUCUCAAGGGAAAUAUUUGCUUGAUCUGCUUCAACGAGUCAAUAUGAAUGGUUGCAAACCUGCAAGUACUCCUUUCUCUACUUCUGACAAGCUGUCUUUGUUUGAUGGACAUCCUCUUGGAGAUGGGGAUUCUACCAACUAUCGGAGUAUUGUCAAUGCUUUGCAAUACUUAACUCUCACUAGACCAGAUAUUUGUUUUUCAGUCAACAAGGUCUGUCAAUUCUUACAUGCUCCCACCUCUGUUCACUGGACGGCAGUCAAGCGUAUACUUCGGUAUUUACAAGGAACUAUCACCCAUGGUCUUCGUAUUUCUAAGUCAGAUUCCAUGUUAGUCAGCGUAUUCUCUCAUGCAGAUUGGGCUGGUUGUCCUGAUGAUAGAAAGUCUACUGGUGGCUUUGCUGUUUUUGUUGGUAGUAAUCUUGUGUCUUGGACUGCACGCAAGCAACCUACAGUUUCUCGCUCUAGCACAGAGGCUGAGUACAAAGCACUUGCUAAUGCUAUUGCCGAGGUAAUAUGGGUACAUAACCUUUUGACUGAGCUCGGUAUUUCUCAUCCUAAGUCUGCCUCCCUAUGGUGUGAUAAUUUAGGAGCUACAUACUUAUCUGCCAAUCCUAUUUUUCAUGCACGAACAAAGCAUAUUGAAAUUGAUUAUCACUUUGUCCGUAAGAGAGUUGCUCAGAAACUGCUCCACAUACGGUUUAUUCCCACUGGUGAUCAAGUGGCUGAUGGCUUUACUAAAACUCUUACUCUUCGCCAGUUGGAAGUUUUUCGUCGCAAUCUCAACUUGGAUAAGUUGUGAUUGAGGGGGAGUGUUAGACAUUGUAUAUCUCGUAUACACAUGGUAUAUGUAUAAACCAUGUGUAUUACGUUGUAGGCGUGCGUGUGUUGGUUUAAACUAGGGAUAUCUUGUUAGGGUCUAUCUCUUAUGUUUAACUUGUAGAUAGAGAUAGAUCAUAACUCCUUGUUGUAAUCUUCUUCGUCUUGUGCCUUUAUUAACACGCACGCAUCCCUGCUAACGCAUACACUUCAAGCCUCUCUAUUCUCACAAGAUGGACACGCACAGUAACAUUGGUUUGGUUAUGCUUUGAUUCCCUCGUGUUUACAGGGCCUGCAGAACUUCUCUUGUAUUCACAUCGACUAUCUACCUAAUUACGACGGGGCUGACGAUCAUAGUAAUCUAAUGAAGUAGUAGUAGUAGUACUAGUUGUAUGUGUAGUGUGUAGGCGUGUCAUGGAUGGCCGAUAUCGGAAAUGGACGCCCAGUGGCCGCCAUAGUAAUCUAGUGAGUACUCUCCGAAGCUGUUUGGUUCAGACAAACGGAGCAGAACGCCGGAGGGCAGAUUGGAAGGAGCAGUACCUCAUGCCGAGAAUGGGAUCGGCGGCCGCCGCCGCCGCCGCUGCGCUGCUCGUGAAGUAGCGUUGAAGGAGGGAGAGGUCGACGCUCUCCAUCGCCACCAGCGCCGCCGCACGACUCGAUGUAGAAGAUUUGGGGGCGGAGGGGUCGACAGCAGAGGAGCAGAGGCGUCGAUUUGGACGGAGCCGGGAGACGAAGCGGUACC